CUUUACGGCCACACCUCCCUGAGCACGCCCGAUCUCGUCUGAUCUCGGAAGCUAAGCAGGGUCGGGCCCGGUUAGUAUUUGAUGGGAGUACCGCCUGGAAUACCAGGUGCUGUAAGCC
RNAcentral lists this ribosomal RNA (118 nucleotides) under Esox lucius (northern pike). The record is from RNAcentral. Lineage: Eukaryota; Metazoa; Chordata; Actinopteri; Esociformes; Esocidae.